This 775-nucleotide ribosomal RNA is filed under the name uncultured Neocallimastigales. Its description in RNAcentral is "partial large subunit ribosomal RNA". It matches the Rfam family "Eukaryotic large subunit ribosomal RNA", at positions 24 to 616 of the family's 3401-position model. Lineage: Eukaryota; Fungi; Neocallimastigomycota; Neocallimastigomycetes; Neocallimastigales. The record is from RNAcentral.
AUGUGAUCGUCUCUCGCAUAUCAAUAAGCGGAGGAAAAGAAACUAACAAGGAUUCCCCUAGUAACGGCGAGUGAAGCGGGAAGAGCUCAAAUUUGAAAUCUUAAAGGGUUUCCCUUUACGAAUUGUAGUUUAAAGAAGUGUUUUCUGUUGAGGUUUUGGUAAAAGUUCUUUGGAAUAGGACAUCAUAGAGGGUGAGAAUCCCGUAUUUGACCUUUACUUUCAACUUUGUGAUACACUUUCAAAGAGUCGGAUUGUUUGGGAAUGCAGUCCAAAAUGGGUGGUAAAUUUCAUCUAAAGCUAAAUAUUGGCGAGAGACCGAUAGGCGAACAAGUACCGUGAGGGAAAGAUGAAAAGAACUUUGAAAAGAGAGUUAAACAGUACGUGAAAUUGUCAAAAGGGAAGCGUUUGACACCAGUGUUGUUUUUCUGAAAAUCAAUUAAAGAACUGUUUAUGCUAAGCUGUUUAGACUUUAUCAGCUAUCUGUUUAGUUUUGAGCUUUUCUUUAAUGCACUUUUCAGUUAACAAGUCAACAUCAAUUUCUUUUGCUGUAAAAAAGCUUGAGGAAGGUGGCUUGAGAUUCGUCCUUAAGUGUUUAUAGCCUCUUGCCUAUGCAGUCGGAGAGAUUGAGGUCUGCAGCGUAGAUCCUUCGGGGCUAAAUGCAUUUGUGCUAAGUUAUAGCAUUUCAUAGACAACUUGUUGACUAUGAUUUGUCUUGUAGCUUACUCGCUUAUGUUAUUUUACCUACGCUUAGGAUGUUGAGCGCAUGUCUCUCUCU